GACAGAGGGUGCAAACGUUGCUCGGAAUUACUGGGCGUAAAGCGCGUGUAGGUGGAUUGGUGUGUCAGAUGUGAAAGCCCUGGGCUCAACCCAGGAACUGCACCUGAAACUACCAGUCUUGAGUGGUGGAGAGGGAAGUGGAAUUCCUGGUGUAGAGGUGAAAUUCGUAGAUAUUCGGAAGAACACCAGUGGCGAAGGCGGCUCACUGGCCCGGUACUGACGCUGAGGUGCGAAAGCGUGGGGAGCAAACAGG
This 253-nucleotide ribosomal RNA is filed under the name uncultured bacterium. Its description in RNAcentral is "partial 16S ribosomal RNA". It matches the Rfam family "Bacterial small subunit ribosomal RNA", at positions 524 to 776 of the family's 1533-position model. The record is from RNAcentral.